AUUGAACGCUGGCGGCAUGCCUAACACAUGCAAGUCGAGCGGAUAAAGGGAGCUUGCUCCUGAAUUCAGCGGCGGGCGGGUGAGUAAUGCCUAGGAGUCUCCCUGAGAGUGGGGGAUAGCGUCCAGACACGGGCGCUAAUACCACACACGUUAUGAUUGAGAACGUGGGGGAUCUUCGGACCUCACGCUAUCAGCUGACCCUAGGUCGGAUUAGCUAGUUGGUGGGGUAAAGGCUUACCAAGGCGACGAUCCGUAGCUGGUCUGAGAGGAUGAUCAGCCACACUGGAACUGAGACACGGUCCAGACUCCUACGGGAGGCAGCAGUGGGGAAUCUUGGACAAUGGGCGAAAGCCUGAUCCAGCCAUGCCGCGUGUGUGAAGAAGGUCUUCGGAUUGUAAAGCACUUUUAGUUGGGAGGAAGAGCAGUAUGUUAAUACCUUGCUGUCUUGACGUUACCAAAAGAAUAAGCACCGGCUAACUACGUG
This 484-nucleotide ribosomal RNA is filed under the name uncultured bacterium. RNAcentral's name for it is "partial 16S ribosomal RNA". It matches the Rfam family "Bacterial small subunit ribosomal RNA", at positions 30 to 507 of the family's 1533-position model. The record is from RNAcentral.